GGGUUGUGAGGUUAAGCGACUAAGCGUACACGGUGGAUGCCCUGGCAGUCAGAGGCGAUGAAGGACGUGCUAAUCUGCGAUAAGCGUCGGUAAGGUGAUAUGAACCGUUAUAACCGGCGAUUUCCGAAUGGGGAAACCCAGUGUGUUUCGACACACUAUCAUUAACUGAAUCCAUAGGUUAAUGAGGCGAACCGGGGGAACUGAAACAUCUAAGUACCCCGAGGAAAAGAAAUCAACCGAGAUUCCCCCAGUAGCGGCGAGCGAACGGGGAGCAGCCCAGAGCCUGAAUCAGUGUGUGUGUUAGUGGAAGCGUCUGGAAAGGCGUGCGAUACAGGGUGACAGCCCCGUACACAAAAAUGCACAUAUUGUGAGCUCGAUGAGUAGGGCGGGACACGUGGUAUCCUGUCUGAAUAUGGGGGGACCAUCCUCCAAGGCUAAAUACUCCUGACUGACCGAUAGUGAACCAGUACCGUGAGGGAAAGGCGAAAAGAACCCCGGCGAGGGGAGUGAAAAAGAACCUGAAACCGUGUACGUACAAGCAGUGGGAGCACGCUUAGGCGUGUGACUGCGUACCUUUUGUAUAAUGGGUCAGCGACUUAUAUUCUGUAGCAAGGUUAACCGAAUAGGGGAGCCGAAGGGAAACCGAGUCUUAACUGGGCGUUAAGUUGCAGGGUAUAGACCCGAAACCCGGUGAUCUAGCCAUGGGCAGGUUGAAGGUUGGGUAACACUAACUGGAGGACCGAACCGACUAAUGUUGAAAAAUUAGCGGAUGACUUGUGGCUGGGGGUGAAAGGCCAAUCAAACCGGGAGAUAGCUGGUUCUCCCCGAAAGCUAUUUAGGUAGCGCCUCGUGAAUUCAUCUCCGGGGGUAGAGCACUGUUUCGGCAAGGGGGUCAUCCCGACUUACCAACCCGAUGCAAACUGCGAAUACCGGAGAAUGUUAUCACGGGAGACACACGGCGGGUGCUAACGUCCGUCGUGAAGAGGGAAACAACCCAGACCGCCAGCUAAGGUCCCAAAGUCAUGGUUAAGUGGGAAACGAUGUGGGAAGGCCCAGACAGCCAGGAUGUUGGCUUAGAAGCAGCCAUCAUUUAAAGAAAGCGUAAUAGCUCACUGGUCGAGUCGGCCUGCGCGGAAGAUGUAACGGGGCUAAACCAUGCACCGAAGCUGCGGCAGCGACGCUUAUGCGUUGUUGGGUAGGGGAGCGUUCUGUAAGCCUGUGAAGGUGUGCUGUGAGGCAUGCUGGAGGUAUCAGAAGUGCGAAUGCUGACAUAAGUAACGAUAAAGCGGGUGAAAAGCCCGCUCGCCGGAAGACCAAGGGUUCCUGUCCAACGUUAAUCGGGGCAGGGUGAGUCGACCCCUAAGGCGAGGCCGAAAGGCGUAGUCGAUGGGAAACAGGUUAAUAUUCCUGUACUUGGUGUUACUGCGAAGGGGGGACGGAGAAGGCUAUGUUGGCCGGGCGACGGUUGUCCCGGUUUAAGCGUGUAGGCUGGUUUUCCAGGCAAAUCCGGAAAAUCAAGGCUGAGGCGUGAUGACGAGGCACUACGGUGCUGAAGCAACAAAUGCCCUGCUUCCAGGAAAAGCCUCUAAGCAUCAGGUAACAUCAAAUCGUACCCCAAACCGACACAGGUGGUCAGGUAGAGAAUACCAAGGCGCUUGAGAGAACUCGGGUGAAGGAACUAGGCAAAAUGGUGCCGUAACUUCGGGAGAAGGCACGCUGAUAUGUAGGUGAAGUCCCUUGCGGAUGGAGCUGAAAUCAGUCGAAGAUACCAGCUGGCUGCAACUGUUUAUUAAAAACACAGCACUGUGCAAACACGAAAGUGGACGUAUACGGUGUGACGCCUGCCCGGUGCCGGAAGGUUAAUUGAUGGGGUCAGCGCAAGCGAAGCUCUUGAUCGAAGCCCCGGUAAACGGCGGCCGUAACUAUAACGGUCCUAAGGUAGCGAAAUUCCUUGUCGGGUAAGUUCCGACCUGCACGAAUGGCGUAAUGAUGGCCAGGCUGUCUCCACCCGAGACUCAGUGAAAUUGAACUCGCUGUGAAGAUGCAGUGUACCCGCGGCAAGACGGAAAGACCCCGUGAACCUUUACUAUAGCUUGACACUGAACAUUGAGCCUUGAUGUGUAGGAUAGGUGGGAGGCUUUGAAGUGUGGACGCCAGUCUGCAUGGAGCCGACCUUGAAAUACCACCCUUUAAUGUUUGAUGUUCUAACGUGGACCCGUGAUCCGGGUUGCGGACAGUGUCUGGUGGGUAGUUUGACUGGGGCGGUCUCCUCCUAAAGAGUAACGGAGGAGCACGAAGGUUGGCUAAUCCUGGUCGGACAUCAGGAGGUUAGUGCAAUGGCAUAAGCCAGCUUGACUGCGAGCGUGACGGCGCGAGCAGGUGCGAAAGCAGGUCAUAGUGAUCCGGUGGUUCUGAAUGGAAGGGCCAUCGCUCAACGGAUAAAAGGUACUCCGGGGAUAACAGGCUGAUACCGCCCAAGAGUUCAUAUCGACGGCGGUGUUUGGCACCUCGAUGUCGGCUCAUCACAUCCUGGGGCUGAAGUAGGUCCCAAGGGUAUGGCUGUUCGCCAUUUAAAGUGGUACGCGAGCUGGGUUUAGAACGUCGUGAGACAGUUCGGUCCCUAUCUGCCGUGGGCGCUGGAGAACUGAGGGGGGCUGCUCCUAGUACGAGAGGACCGGAGUGGACGCAUCACUGGUGUUCGGGUUGUCAUGCCAAUGGCACUGCCCGGUAGCUAAAUGCGGAAGAGAUAAGUGCUGAAAGCAUCUAAGCACGAAACUUGCCCCGAGAUGAGUUCUCCCUGACCCUUUAAGGGUCCUGAAGGAACGUUGAAGACGACGACGUUGAUAGGCCGGGUGUGUAAGCGCAGCGAUGCGUUGAGCUAACCGGUACUAAUGAACCGUGAGGCUUAACCUUACAACGCCGAAGGUGUUU
Molecule: ribosomal RNA, 2931 nt
Filed under: Escherichia coli
Lineage: Bacteria; Pseudomonadati; Pseudomonadota; Gammaproteobacteria; Enterobacterales; Enterobacteriaceae
Description: bacterial LSU rRNA
Rfam family: Bacterial large subunit ribosomal RNA
Source: RNAcentral